CCCUAACUCCUCUUCUGCCUCUCAAUCUCCGUCCCUCUGGGCACGUUGUUCAUUCCUCUUCCUAAAAUGGUUUCUCUUUUUUCUCUGUAUUGUAUUUUACAUAUAUUGAAUCAAGCGAAUCCAUUUUAGGAAGAGAAUGAAUACCGUUAUCAUAGAGAUACUGAAACUCAUAAACUCGAGAGAAUUUGGUGGCGUCUUCAUCUCUCUCUUUGAACACAUGCAGUAUUCAUUCCUCUUUUAGAGAUUAGAUUCUGUUUACUUGAAUCUGAAUUUAAUGUUUGCAAGGGAAAUUAAUACUGUUUUAUCAAAGAGAUUUUUUCCCUUUGCUGCUAUGGCAGAAUCUAUUUGUUUCAGGUUGAAAAAAAAAAAAGAAGAUUGUUACUUUCUCUAGAUCCAAUUCUCGUAUAUUAUAUAGCUUUUUGGCUGUUUAACUGUUUGUCUGCUUUUGUUUUAGUUGGCUCUUGGAUGUCUAUUUUCUGCUAGAUUUAAAUAAAUGGUUCCUUUUUUACAACCUGUCUUGACAAGCUUUAAUGGAGUCAAGCGAACUAUUAGAGAUGAUAUAUUGCAGCAGGUGAUCCAAUUACUAAGUGAUGAAUCUUAGAGAGGGAUCAGUAUCAAUGGGAUAUACCUCUGUAAGAAUAUAGCAAAAUCUCUGGAAAAUCUUUUAGGUUGGGUUUGCUUAAGCUAGUUUACUUUGGUAGUUGGCCUAUUCUGUCAUCGGAGUUUGGUGUGUGGUCUUUAAGACUUGGCCUUCGACUCUCUUUUGUUUUUGCAGAGCAAAAGAGAAUGGAAGGGUUUGGAUGUUCUUUUUUUAUUUUAAAGAAUUUUUAUUAAGAUAUA
Jatropha curcas is the source of this 840-nucleotide non-coding RNA. The record is from RefSeq and is a predicted model, not a curated record. NCBI's taxonomy places the organism in Eukaryota, Viridiplantae, Streptophyta, Magnoliopsida, Malpighiales, Euphorbiaceae.